RNAcentral lists this ribosomal RNA (90 nucleotides) under Equus caballus (horse). Its description in RNAcentral is "partial 16S ribosomal RNA". RNAcentral also lists the same sequence under 1 other name. Lineage: Eukaryota; Metazoa; Chordata; Mammalia; Perissodactyla; Equidae. The record is from RNAcentral.
GAACAAAACAACCUCCGAGUGAUUUAAAUCCAGACUAACCAGUCAAAAUAUAUAAUCACUUAUUGAUCCAAACCAUUGAUCAACGGAACA